Molecule: ribosomal RNA, 497 nt
Filed under: uncultured bacterium
Lineage: Bacteria
Description: partial 16S ribosomal RNA
Rfam family: Bacterial small subunit ribosomal RNA
Source: RNAcentral
GAUGAACGCUGGCGGCGUGCCUAAUACAUGCAAGUCGAGCGAACGGACGAGAAGCUUGCUUUUCUGAUGUUAGCGGCGGACGGGUGAGUAACACGUGGAUAACCUACCUAUAAGACUGGGAUAACUUCGGGAAACCGGAGCUAAUACCGGAUAAUAUUUUGAACCGCAUGGUUCAAAAGUGAAAGACGGUCUUGCUGUCACUUAUAGAUGGAUCCGCGCUGCAUUAGCUAGUUGGUAAGGUAACGGCUUACCAAGGCAACGAUGCAUAGCCGACCUGAGAGGGUGAUCGGCCACACUGGAACUGAGACACGGUCCAGACUCCUACGGGAGGCAGCAGUAGGGAAUCUUCCGCAAUGGGCGAAAGCCUGACGGAGCAACGCCGCGUGAGUGUUGAAGGUCUUCGGAUCGUAAAACUCUGUUAUUAGGGAAGAACAUAUGUGUAAGUAACUGUGCACAUCUUGACGGUACCUAAUCAGAAAGCCACGGCUAACUACGUG